AUACUAGUCUGGCAGGGGAGAUACCAUGAUCAUGAAGGGGGUUUUCCUAGGGUGAGUCUCAUCCAUUGCCCUGGGGGUGGGCUGAUCCCUGCGAUUUCCCCAAAGGGGGGAAACUCGUCUGUAGAAUCCGGGGGGGGGCUGCGUGCGCGCUCCCGCG
Molecule: small nuclear RNA, 157 nt
Organism: Gopherus flavomarginatus (Mexican gopher tortoise)
Lineage: Eukaryota; Metazoa; Chordata; Testudines; Testudinidae
Product: U1 spliceosomal RNA
Exons: 1
Source: RefSeq, a predicted model, not a curated record